AUAUUGUACGUUGAGUGCGGGUGAGAAGCUGCGUUCAGGUUCGAGCCGAGCGAAGCGAGACAACGUUGCGCUUGCCGCAACGACCCGAAGGGCAAGGGCAAGGGCAAAGCCCGAGUAAUCCUGCACGACUCUCUA
This 135-nucleotide small RNA is filed under the name Providencia sp. JGM181. Its description in RNAcentral is "RtT sRNA". It matches the Rfam family "RtT RNA". From Rfam's summary of the family: This family represents a bacterial cis-regulatory element known as RtT RNA. The exact function of RtT is unknown although it is thought that it may be involved in changing the cellular response in relation to amino acid starvation. Lineage: Bacteria; Pseudomonadati; Pseudomonadota; Gammaproteobacteria; Enterobacterales; Morganellaceae. RNAcentral also lists the same sequence under 2 other names. The record is from RNAcentral.